Solanum tuberosum (potato) is the source of this 925-nucleotide long non-coding RNA. RefSeq lists it as uncharacterized. The transcript has 3 exons. The record is from RefSeq and is a predicted model, not a curated record. Lineage: Eukaryota; Viridiplantae; Streptophyta; Magnoliopsida; Solanales; Solanaceae.
CCCAUUAAGAUCAAUGGCUGUGGUAAACUCUCUUUCAACUACCUUUUCUAAUUACAAAAUCAUUCUUUUACUACAAGAACAAUAAGGCUGCCUGUCCACAGACAAGUGGUAUUUGCAAGUAUUCAUGACAAUAUUUCAAACAACAUCUCAUCAUCAUCAUCAACAACAACAAUAACAUCAACCAAUCCGUGUCAAAUCAAAUUAACUUCGAAAAAUGGGCUUAAGGUAUUUGAAGAUAAGUCAACGGGUGUAGUUUGUUAUAGAGAUGAAUAUGGAGAAAUCACAUGUGAAGGAUAUGAUGAAGGCCCUCGUUUUUGUCACCAACCCCCAAAGUCUCCUUCUAAAUCAAGAGAUGAAGAGAUUGUAGAGCUCCUCCAAAGAUUUUGGCUUCAUAUAGCUGAUGAUGCUGUGGAAUGAAGAGACUUUGUGCAUUCUUAACGGGCUAAUAAUCGACUCGAUUAUAUAUGGUUCAAGUUCAAGCUAAUUAGAUAUUGUUAUAUGAAUAUUAUGUAUUCAUUUUGUUCUAUUCAAAACAGUCAAAGGAGCAAGCAUCACAUGAUCCCACAAACAUUGGAUCUACCACUUCAUUUUAAUUGAUAUCAAACAUUACAUAUAAAUCUCAUCACCAAAUCUUGAUCAACUAUUACACUUGUAUUGAACUUACUUACUAUGAAGUGCCAUUCAACAUUACUAGUAACUUUUGUACUAGCCCUCAUCUUGAUUCAACUACAUUCAGGGCCUAAUACUGCUACAGAAGCAGCUCGAUUCGUUUUCUCAUCAUCAGAAACUUUGCCUUCUUCAACAUCGCAAAAGCUCAAAGUUGAUGAACAUGGAAGAAUUAGUGAGAAACAACCACUCAAGAAAGUUAAAUCAAGCUUUAGAAGAAUACCACGAAGCAGAUCCAAUCCUACGCAAAACAAGUAGU